GUAACCGCUAAAUAACAAUCGCGAAGCUAUAAAGGCCGAGUCUCGCUGCUGAUCAGCUCAAACCGUUCCUGGCGUUUGGUGAGAAUAGACCUACAAUUCAAUUAGCUCCGCCUUCUCUCGCCUUUUUUCUUUCAGGUCCUGAUGGGAUCCUGCUUGGGCCGUUGCGUUGGGGGAAGGGAAUCCCGCCGACAUGGGCGGAAGGCCACUGCGGAAGUUGGCACGGGGGAUCGGAGGGUGGCCAAUGAGCAGACCCCGAGGAAUAUGGUGACAAAACCGACCGACUAUGACGGACGCGACGAGGUGGUUCCGAAGCCGGAUCCACCGGAGUCGGAACAAAAUUACUUUUCUCUUGACAUUUUGGAAAAUUCCGAUUCUCCGGUGGAUUCGGUUCCGGGACCAUCGAAAAUGGACAAUUUAUUAAAUGAAUCUUUGGAACAAACCGCGGCGGUUCUACCGAUUGUGGAAUCGUCUGCGGAUGUAAAUUUUAUUUCUCUUUCAGAUUCAAUGGGGUGGUUUUUGGGUGACGAAGCCGUUACGUUGGUUCCGGUGGUGGUGAUUCCGAUGCCGGAUUCACCGGAAGAUGGUUCCGGUGUGAAUCCGGAACCGGAACCACCGACACAAAUUGAACCCAUUUCCCAAAAUUUAAAUUUUUCGGCAUCAUUUCUUUCCAAAAUUGACAUUUCAGGCUCCUGUCAAAAUUUGGGUUCGGCUACUGUUCCAUGGUUGCUACGAUCGGAGCAUUCGAAAUUUGUCAGUUUGGUACUUUUUUUGCUUUGUGGCAUGACGUGUACUUUUUACGUUGCUGUUGCAUACUUUUAUUGGUUUUACUGUUUGCGGUUAUUGUUAUCUGUUCUUGAUUAAUCGUUUUUGUUCUUGUUUCUAUUUUCAUGAGAGGUUCCCUGUUACUGGCGUUACUGGCGUUACUGAAGUUGGAUAGUUAUCGAUGUUACUGUGGCUGAAUUUGGAGAAACUAUUGUGAUCGAGUGAAGACCGACUGGCGGACCGACCAAUCGGAAGGGUUGAAAUUGAUGGAAUUAUCGAUUGUCUUGGCGAGGAUCCAAUUUGUGGAGUGCGCGAUGGAUAUCCGGAGCAGCAGUUUGGUGGCUGGAACUGAAGCAUUAGUUUUAGUUAAUGACAUGUACGAUUGAAUUGUAAUGUUUUCUCGUAAU
This is a long non-coding RNA of Culex pipiens pallens (northern house mosquito), 1169 nucleotides long. RefSeq lists it as uncharacterized. The transcript has 3 exons. Lineage: Eukaryota; Metazoa; Arthropoda; Insecta; Diptera; Culicidae. The record is from RefSeq and is a predicted model, not a curated record.